RNAcentral lists this ribosomal RNA (2774 nucleotides) under Escherichia coli. RNAcentral describes it as "bacterial LSU rRNA". It matches the Rfam family "Bacterial large subunit ribosomal RNA". Lineage: Bacteria; Pseudomonadati; Pseudomonadota; Gammaproteobacteria; Enterobacterales; Enterobacteriaceae. The record is from RNAcentral.
AGCGUACACGGUGGAUGCCCUGGCAGUCAGAGGCGAUGAAGGACGUGCUAAUCUGCGAUAAGCGUCGGUAAGGUGAUAUGAACCGUUAUAACCGGCGAUUUCCGAAUGGGGAAACCCAGUGUGAUUCGUCACACUAUCAUUAACUGAAUCCAUAGGUUAAUGAGGCGAACCGGGGGAACUGAAACAUCUAAGUACCCCGAGGAAAAGAAAUCAACCGAGAUUCCCCCAGUAGCGGCGAGCGAACGGGGAGCAGCCCAGAGCCUGAAUCAGUGUGUGUGUUAGUGGAAGCGUCUGGAAAGGCGCGCGAUACAGGGUGACAGCCCCGUACACAAAAAUGCACAUACUGUGAGCUCGAUGAGUAGGGCGGGACACGUGGUAUCCUGUCUGAAUAUGGGGGGACCAUCCUCCAAGGCUAAAUACUCCUGACUGACCGAUAGUGAACCAGUACCGUGAGGGAAAGGCGAAAAGAACCCCGGCGAGGGGAGUGAAAAAGAACCUGAAACCGUGUACGUACAAGCAGUGGGAGCACGCUUCGGCGUGUGACUGCGUACCUUUUGUAUAAUGGGUCAGCGACUUAUAUUCUGUAGCAAGGUUAACCGAAUAGGGGAGCCGAAGGGAAACCGAGUCUUAACUGGGCGUUAAGUUGCAGGGUAUAGACCCGAAACCCGGUGAUCUAGCCAUGGGCAGGUUGAAGGUUGGGUAACACUAACUGGAGGACCGAACCGACUAAUGUUGAAAAAUUAGCGGAUGACUUGUGGCUGGGGGUGAAAGGCCAAUCAAACCGGGAGAUAGCUGGUUCUCCCCGAAAGCUAUUUAGGUAGCGCCUCGUGAAUUCAUCUCCGGGGGUAGAGCACUGUUUCGGCAAGGGGGUCAUCCCGACUUACCAACCCGAUGCAAACUGCGAAUACCGGAGAAUGUUAUCACGGGAGACACACGGCGGGUGCUAACGUCCGUCGUGAAGAGGGAAACAACCCAGACCGCCAGCUAAGGUCCCAAAGUCAUGGUUAAGUGGGAAACGAUGUGGGAAGGCCCAGACAGCCAGGAUGUUGGCUUAGAAGCAGCCAUCAUUUAAAGAAAGCGUAAUAGCUCACUGGUCGAGUCGGCCUGCGCGGAAGAUGUAACGGGGCUAAACCAUGCACCGAAGCUGCGGCAGCGACACUAUGUGUUGUUGGGUAGGGGAGCGUUCUGUAAGCCUGUGAAGGUGUACUGUGAGGUAUGCUGGAGGUAUCAGAAGUGCGAAUGCUGACAUAAGUAACGAUAAAGCGGGUGAAAAGCCCGCUCGCCGGAAGACCAAGGGUUCCUGUCCAACGUUAAUCGGGGCAGGGUGAGUCGACCCCUAAGGCGAGGCCGAAAGGCGUAGUCGAUGGGAAACAGGUUAAUAUUCCUGUACUUGGUGUUACUGCGAAGGGGGGACGGAGAAGGCUAUGUUGGCCGGGCGACGGUUGUCCCGGUUUAAGCGUGUAGGCUGGUUUUCCAGGCAAAUCCGGAAAAUCAAGGCUGAGGCGUGAUGACGAGGCACUACGGUGCUGAAGCAACAAAUGCCCUGCUUCCAGGAAAAGCCUCUAAGCAUCAGGUAACAUCAAAUCGUACCCCAAACCGACACAGGUGGUCAGGUAGAGAAUACCAAGGCGCUUGAGAGAACUCGGGUGAAGGAACUAGGCAAAAUGGUGCCGUAACUUCGGGAGAAGGCACGCUGAUAUGUAGGUGAAGCGACUUGCUCGUGGAGCUGAAAUCAGUCGAAGAUACCAGCUGGCUGCAACUGUUUAUUAAAAACACAGCACUGUGCAAACACGAAAGUGGACGUAUACGGUGUGACGCCUGCCCGGUGCCGGAAGGUUAAUUGAUGGGGUUAGCGGUAACGCGAAGCUCUUGAUCGAAGCCCCGGUAAACGGCGGCCGUAACUAUAACGGUCCUAAGGUAGCGAAAUUCCUUGUCGGGUAAGUUCCGACCUGCACGAAUGGCGUAAUGAUGGCCAGGCUGUCUCCACCCGAGACUCAGUGAAAUUGAACUCGCUGUGAAGAUGCAGUGUACCCGCGGCAAGACGGAAAGACCCCGUGAACCUUUACUAUAGCUUGACACUGAACAUUGAGCCUUGAUGUGUAGGAUAGGUGGGAGGCUUUGAAGUGUGGACGCCAGUCUGCAUGGAGCCGACCUUGAAAUACCACCCUUUAAUGUUUGAUGUUCUAACGUUGACCCGUGAUCCGGGUUGCGGACAGUGUCUGGUGGGUAGUUUGACUGGGGCGGUCUCCUCCUAAAGAGUAACGGAGGAGCACGAAGGUUGGCUAAUCCUGGUCGGACAUCAGGAGGUUAGUGCAAUGGCAUAAGCCAGCUUGACUGCGAGCGUGACGGCGCGAGCAGGUGCGAAAGCAGGUCAUAGUGAUCCGGUGGUUCUGAAUGGAAGGGCCAUCGCUCAACGGAUAAAAGGUACUCCGGGGAUAACAGGCUGAUACCGCCCAAGAGUUCAUAUCGACGGCGGUGUUUGGCACCUCGAUGUCGGCUCAUCACAUCCUGGGGCUGAAGUAGGUCCCAAGGGUAUGGCUGUUCGCCAUUUAAAGUGGUACGCGAGCUGGGUUUAGAACGUCGUGAGACAGUUCGGUCCCUAUCUGCCGUGGGCGCUGGAGAACUGAGGGGGGCUGCUCCUAGUACGAGAGGACCGGAGUGGACGCAUCACUGGUGUUCGGGUUGUCAUGCCAAUGGCACUGCCCGGUAGCUAAAUGCGGAAGAGAUAAGUGCUGAAAGCAUCUAAGCACGAAACUUGCCCCGAGAUGAGUUCU